CUGAUGAAGUUGCUUCUAUUCUUAAGUCGCUUGCCGUUUGCAUUUUGCUGAAUUGCAGUCUUGCAUCACUUUAUGAGUCAGUAAUGACUUUACAGGAUGGUCCAUAGGAAAAGCUCCAUAAGCAUAUGCAGCACUGCCUUAUAUCAACCUGUCUCCCACUGCCUCAGGUCGUACAGGCCUCUGAAGCACUCACAGGAACACACAGGAAUGAUGUAACAGACACUGGAGCAAUGAUGGACACGAUGAAUGUGAGGAUGGAGCUGGACCGGGGAAAAUUGUCUUUUGCAUUGGUUUAGUUGCCUCUGGUCCCACAGAUAAAAUCCAUCUGGCUGAUUCAGUUCUUAUCGGCGAGGUCCAAGUGCUUCUCAGCCGCCUCCGUCACCCUCUUUAUAAACAGUGUGACCUCCUUCUUUCAGGCUGCAGCUUAAGGAGGCUGGGAAUAAAGACAAAGCACCUCAGACUCCCAGACUGAAUCUCUUAAGUGUCAUCAUCAGAAAUAUGAAAGAAGAGGCAGCUUGAUGAGCGUUUUCUCUUUUUGGAUUCGAGAGCCCCGAGAUAUCUGAAGCAACAGUGGGACGUCUGAACUCCUGUCUGACCCCGUCCAGGCCCGCCGCCUCGUAAUGGAUUUGUUCCUAUCUCUUAUGAGCACAUUGGCCUUGGGCAAAGCAGCGGCUCAUCCCAUGAUUGACAGCUGCUGAUAGGACUCCAAUCCCAGCGAGG
Long non-coding RNA from Betta splendens (Siamese fighting fish), 720 nucleotides. RefSeq lists it as uncharacterized. The record is from RefSeq and is a predicted model, not a curated record. Lineage: Eukaryota; Metazoa; Chordata; Actinopteri; Anabantiformes; Osphronemidae. The transcript is spliced from 3 exons.